Molecule: ribosomal RNA, 1437 nt
Filed under: metagenome
Description: bacterial SSU rRNA
Rfam family: Eukaryotic small subunit ribosomal RNA
Source: RNAcentral
UCAAAUUGAUCCUGUUUGUGAGAUAUGUUUAUUUCGAAGCCUAAACCAUGCAAGUCAAGUUUAACUGAGAUUAAAAUAGGAAAACGGCGAAUGGCUCCUUAAAUCAGUUUUAAAGUGCAGAGGGAAGAAGGGGUUUAUCCUUUGAAAAUUUUGUUUAUUUUGGAUAACCUUGGUAAUUCUAUGGCUAAUACAUGAGAGAAAAGUGGUGAUGAGUGAAAUUGUCAUCUGAAAGAAAUUACUUUUUACUGCAUAUAUUGGAUUUAAUUAUCGUCACAUCGUGAAUUGAGAAUAUAGAAUUUGUUUGUUGAGAAUGGCUUUAUUGUCAUUUAAGCCUCUUUUUGAAACUGAUCUAUCAGAUUUCGUAGGUAAAGUAUUGGUUUACCUAGUCGGUGACGGAUACGAGGAAUUAGAGUUUGAUUUCGGAGAAGACGCAUUAGAAUCGGCGACUAUUCCCAAGGGAGGCAGCAGGUGCGAAAAUUGUACUAUUGACGAAAGUCAGAGACAGUGAAAAGAAAUAAGAAUGUUUAUUACAAUUUAUUUUGUUGAACAAUUCAAAUGAGUUGAAAUUGAAAAUUUUAAUAAGUAACAAAUGGAGGGCAAGUCUGGUGCCAGCAGCCGCGGUAAUUCCAGCUCCAUGAAUUUUUUUCAAAGUUGUUGUAGUUAAAGAGCUCGUAGUCUAAAUUAGAAACAAUUUAAAAAUGAUUUAAAACCAUUUUUAUUGUUUUUUUAAAGAAAAUCUAAAAUUUUUUGGAUUUUCAUUUUACUUUGAACAAAUUUGAGUGUUUCAAACAGUUGAACAUUGAUUUUAUUAAUGUUGUUAUAUGUUGAAAAAUUUUGCAUGGGAUAAUUGAAAAAGAUUGGAAGGCCUUUAGCAUUUUUUAUGGUGUUGGAGGUAUUUUUUCGAUAAUGAUUAAUAGGGAUAGUUGAGGAUAUAUAUACUGAGUAGUUAGAGGUGAAAUUCAAUUAUCUACUCAAGAUAAACAUAAGCGAAAGCGUGUAUCAAAGAUGUUUUCAUUGAUCAAGAGCGUCAGAAUGGGGAUCGAAGAUGAUUAGAGACCGUUGUAGUCCAUUCCGUAAACUAUAAAAGGAAAAGAAUAGAGGAAAUUUGGUGAAUUUCAAGAAUCAGUUUAGCUUUUGCUAUUAAUUGAUUCUUUCUAUGCCAUCUUUAUUAUUUUGUGAGAAAUUAGAACCUUUUGUUUUCUAGGGGGAGUAUGUUCGCAAGGAUGGAACUUAAAGGAAUUGACGGAAGGCCACCACAAAAUGUGGAUGCUGCGGCUUAAUUUGACCCAACCCGAGAAAGCUUACAUGGAUAAGAUAUGUGAAUGAUUGACAGGUUAAAGUCCUUUCAAGAUUGUAUAGAAAGUGGUGCAUGGCCGCUCUUAGUUGGUGAUUAUGAAUUGUCUGGUUAAUUCCGAUAACGAACGAGAUCAAAAAAUG